Molecule: small nuclear RNA, 101 nt
Filed under: Myotis davidii
Lineage: Eukaryota; Metazoa; Chordata; Mammalia; Chiroptera; Vespertilionidae
Source: RNAcentral
GUGCUCGCUUCGGCAGCACAUACACGAAAAAUUGGAACGAUACAGAGAAGAUUAGCAUGGCCCAUGCACAAGGGUGACACGCAAAUUCGUGAAGUGUUUUU